UACGUAGGGGGCAAGCGUUGUCCGGAAUCAUUGGGCGUAAAGAGCGUGUAGGCGGCCCGAUAAGUCCGCUGUGAAAGUCCAGGGCUCAACCCUGGGAUGCCGGUGGAUACUGGGAGGCUGGAGUACCGGAGAGGAGGGUGGAAUUCCUGGUGUAGCGGUGAAAUGCGUAGAUAUCAGGAGGAACACCGGUGGCGAAGGCGGCUACCUGGACCAGCACUGACACUGAAGCACGAAAGCGUGGGGAGCAAACAGG
This 253-nucleotide ribosomal RNA is filed under the name uncultured bacterium. Its description in RNAcentral is "partial 16S ribosomal RNA". It matches the Rfam family "Bacterial small subunit ribosomal RNA", at positions 524 to 776 of the family's 1533-position model. The record is from RNAcentral.